GGGACCCAGGCGCAGAGUUUCUAAUCUGCCGGGGGGUGCUCCCCCAGGCCCCGCCCCCACCCUGCUUCUUCCCCUCCUGGCUCCGCCCCCACCCCAUCUCUUCCCACUUCCUCACCCCGCUUGCCCACCCACCUCCUGCAGGGCCCAGGACGGUGGCUCUGAUUCGCUGUACCCCAGGGACGGCGCUGCCUGUGCGUGAUGAACAGACAGCGGUGCCCAAACACCUCAAGGCGCGCAAACAAACCCAGAGCUAAGGUCUCCGAUGCCCUGCCCAGAUAUUGACACCAACGCAAGAGGAGUGCAAAUGCUACCAAAUCAGCACUGGCAGAGGCCUGUCCUCACUUUGUGUGGGUGGGAAGGACAGCAAUGGAGACUCAAAUCCUGAGGUGCCAGUGUCUCAUGCUUCCUCUGAUGGCUCUGCUGCAGAACAGCACAAAAUAAUCUAGCUACAAAGAGAUCUUAAGAGAUCCAUUUCCUUCCCCCGAAAAAGAGAAAUCGAAUCCUUUGCAACUUGUUUAUAUUAAAUUCCUUAUCACACAGCACAGGGCCGGGGCUCUGGAGUUUGCAGUACCUUUCAGAGUUGCAUUUAUUUUCAUGUAACAACCUAACAGCAGCUCACAGCUGAGCCAUAUCUGGGGCAGAAGACAAAUGGGAAGAGGAUUUAGUUUCUGUCUCUUACGUAGAGAUGCAGAAGAUGGCUACUAGUAACAAUCACGUUCUAAUGCCUUUAGUCAGCAGAAUAGGCUUGCGUGAAUGGAGUUUUACUCUUUUAAUCAUGCUCUAAAGUUCAGAAUGAUCAAAACUAGAAAACAAAAAUUAGUGUUAUACAAAUAUAAUGAGAGUUCAUUC
Molecule: long non-coding RNA, 849 nt
Organism: Chrysemys picta bellii (western painted turtle)
Lineage: Eukaryota; Metazoa; Chordata; Testudines; Emydidae
Source: RefSeq, a predicted model, not a curated record